AUGUUGCUGUGCCAGGAUGAGGCCGCUGAGAUCCUCCAGCCAGAGCCGGGGCGACAAUGCGCUUCGCAGCGACCCUUCCCUCCAGGAGGCAGCAAGGGCUCUUCCUCGGCCUGCAGCGGACAGGGCGGCGGCCCAGGAGCCUCGGGCCCCACCCCAAGGCCGAAGGCGCCAGGCGCUCGGCCGCCCCGUCCUUCGCAUCACUCCCAGGGAUCCUCCCCUUCGCCCGCACGCCGAGGCCGAGGCACCGGCUGCUUCAGCACUUCCGGGUCGGCGGAGAGAGCGCUGCGUGACGUUGCCGGAGCGUUCGGGAGCCUCGCGCCUGUUAUUGUUCCUGCUUCCCUCGCUCUCUCCCCCACCCCCGCCCGCCUUCCCACCGGCGUGGGAGGCUCGCUGAGGGAAGCUGUCAGAAGCCCGAGGGCGGUUGGAAGGAGCUGGAGGAGGGGGGCCCGCUGCCAACGGUUUCGAACCUUCCGUUGCGCGAGCCCUGACAGCGAGGGGCGGGGGAGUGCGCGCCGCGUCACCAAGCAGCAAGCAGCCCUAGCAGGAGGCGCAGGAAGGCGGCGGCGGCGGCGACUGGAAGGACAUGGCCUACGCGUAUCUCUUCAAGUACAUCAUAAUCGGGGACACAGAUUCAGAAGAUCAACAUAAUCAUCCUCAAUGGAGAUAUCCUACCAGUCUUCCAAGAGCAAAGAGCUGUGAUAAUUACCACAUGCAUCUCCCUUUGAGAAGUCACACCCUGCCUCAGUUCUGGGAAUAGAUUGACUGCUGCUCAAGUCAAUUUUCUCACAGCAGUGCUCCUUGGAGGAAUUUUAAGAGGGUCUGUCAUGUCUCUGGUACCCUCCUCUUCCAUCAAGCUGGAAAAUUCCAGAUUUAACCAUGCCUCAAGUACAAUUCCAAACUGCACCAAAGUCAACUCUCCCCUCUCCUUUAAUAACUUGGAGUGUUUACUAGCCUACAUUGCAGGAGAUCCAUUGAAGCAGGUAACAUGUUUCAGUGGCUUUUGGAUGAAUUGUAUAAAGAAGCUGGUUAUAUGUAGGUCAUGGAAUUCUUAUUUAAGGCUUAUGUAUAAAACCAUAUUUAUUAUCUAUUACUGUAUAACAUAGGAUUGGGCUGUGCAUGCAUAUCGGCUUCAUAGCACUUGAUCUUAAAACAGAGAAUGUCUGAAUUCUUGAUAGGAAACUUCUACCUCUGGGGUUGUUGUUUUUUUAUCUUUGAGGUGUAACUCAUGCAAGUUGCCAUUUUAUGUUAUUGUUGACAGAUGAUUCACAUGCGUAUGCAAACCAGCCCUUUCAUGUACAAAUAUAUGAAGCCCAAAAGUUUCCUUGUGAAAGUGGCAUGUGGUAGGUCCUUGCAGGAAUUAAAUACAUUUUUAGCUGGAAAUUUGGUUGUUAUGCACAAACUGUCUGUUCCUGACAAAAAGUUAUAGCUGUUUGGUCCAUUGCUAGCAUAGUUUCUACGCUAGAGCUUGGGCAUUCAUGAUUCCUACAUAUCAUAGUUUCUUAGAUUUGUCAUUGCUUACGUUUACCUGUCUUGGACUGAGAAAGCAGUUCUUUCACUUCUACUGAGGGCUAUUUGAAUCACAGUCCUGGUUUGAAGUUCUCUCAGCAACACCUGAGCUAUGUGCUAUUUAUCUUGUGAACCACCCUGAGAUCGUUGGAUGAAGGCCAUAUAUAAUAAUAAUAAAAUGUUGCAAGAGGUAAAACCACAAAAGUCUUGUGAAAACAAGUGUCCUACCUUGCAUCAUAUUCUGAUGUAAAAUACCUGUUUAACUUACAUUUAAAACUAUCAAGAGUGGCAAGAAAUUGUUUCUUAAGUUUUUCUGGCUAGAAAGAAAUUGAGAAUAAAUAAAAUAUAAGGAAGAAAAGCCUGUAAGAAGAGAGGAUUUGUAAUCUCUUAUUUAGAAUAGUAAUAUGAAGCAGGUAUUUUGACACGGGUGGUGCAGUGAAUGAUGAAAGAGUGCACCUUGUACUUCACUAAUAUUACACAUAAUAGAAGAUGAGUGGUCCACUUAUGAUUCUUUCAUGCCAAAUUUUAAGGUCACCUAUAUAACUAAAAAAAUUAGAGAAAAUAAGAACUUGGGAACAGAUGAAGGAACAAAUGAUAGCACCACCUUUAAAUACAUACAAAUAAAAAGUAUUCUAAGUGGACUGAGACAAAUACAGGAAGCGAGAACCUUAAAACAAUUUGAAAGGUUAACAGGGAAUGGCACAGUUAAAUGGUUUUCAACUUUAUGUCAAGUUAGUUAAUGCAUAAACAUUCAGAGACAAAACUUAAUCAUAUGAUGAAAUGGGAAAGAGAAUUGCAAACAGAAAUUUAGGAGAAAGUAUGGAAAUGCCUAUUUGGAGUAGGAACCAAAUUCAUGUCAGCCAUGAAUUUUAGAGAAAAUUGCAGGAAAAGCGUGGUGCAAUGGCUUUGGAUCCCUUGGAAAAGCAGAAUGAUUUCAUACAUAUGAUGGAAAUGAUAUUGGUUAUAAAAUGACAUAAUUUGUCAUUAGGCUUUGCAAAGAGUCCACUAUUAUGUUUGUUGAAUUACAUCAAUGAUUCAAGAACACCAAAGA
Long non-coding RNA from Podarcis muralis (Common wall lizard), 2557 nucleotides. The record is from Ensembl. NCBI's taxonomy places the organism in Eukaryota, Metazoa, Chordata, Lepidosauria, Squamata, Lacertidae.